UACGUAGGGGGCAAGCGUUGUCCGGAAUCAUUGGGCGAAAAGCGCGCGUAGGCGGCCCGGUAAGUCCGCUGUGAAAGUCAAAGGCUCAACCUUUGAAUGUCAGCGGAUACUGCCGGGCUAGAGUCCGGAAGAGGCGAGUGGAACUCCUGGUGUAGCGGUGGAAUGCGCAGAUAUCAGGAAGAACACCAACGGCGAAGGCAGCUCGCUGGGACGGAACUGACGCUGAGGCGCGAAAGCGUGGGGAGCGAACAGG
Molecule: ribosomal RNA, 253 nt
Filed under: uncultured bacterium
Lineage: Bacteria
Description: partial 16S ribosomal RNA
Rfam family: Bacterial small subunit ribosomal RNA
Source: RNAcentral